Molecule: transfer RNA, 85 nt
Filed under: Elusimicrobiaceae bacterium
Lineage: Bacteria; Pseudomonadati; Elusimicrobiota; Elusimicrobia; Elusimicrobiales; Elusimicrobiaceae
Description: tRNA-Ser
Rfam family: tRNA
About the family: Transfer RNA (tRNA) molecules are approximately 80 nucleotides in length. Their secondary structure includes four short double-helical elements and three loops (D, anti-codon, and T loops).
Source: RNAcentral
GGAGAGGUGUGUGAGCGGUUGAAACAGCAGGCCUCGAAAUCCUGUAUACCGAAAGGUAUCGAGGGUUCAAAUCCCUCCCUCUCCG